CAAGAUUCCAAUUCUGAGAACACCUGCAGACUGAGCAGAAAGUGACUCUCCUCACUCCCUACUGACAGCCCUGUUACCAGAACGAUGUCAAGAAACCAGCCUGAAGUUGACGGCAUAGAGGUGAACGGGCCCAAGAGCAGCACCGAUGUUGAGUGGUCGGAUGACCAUAAAAAAGUAAUGCAGACAUAUGAGGUUGGAAGUGUCUCUGCAACCGCCGGGCCGACGAAGGCCACAUUGGGUCUGGCAGCUACCACCGGCUUUGAAAUAGGCAAGGAAGGGGUCGGGGCACAAGUUUUGGGUACAGGCUUCUCUGUCGGGAGGACAACAUCUGUUUCUCUGUUUGGUAGCAAGUUGGAGUUCAAACUCUGGUGACACCACCACUCAGAGCCCAGAGGUCCACUGCUUUGGAGAUGUAUAAAUUCCACCUGUUUAGUUCUCUUAUAGUCUACAGACAAGGCUUCUGGGCCACAGAUGUGCUUGGCUUCUUUUACACUUAAUGAAAACAUCUUGAUGUAUUGUACUUAA
Long non-coding RNA from Salvelinus namaycush (lake trout), 525 nucleotides. RefSeq lists it as uncharacterized. Lineage: Eukaryota; Metazoa; Chordata; Actinopteri; Salmoniformes; Salmonidae. The transcript has 3 exons. The record is from RefSeq and is a predicted model, not a curated record.